Molecule: small RNA, 532 nt
Filed under: Pan troglodytes (chimpanzee)
Lineage: Eukaryota; Metazoa; Chordata; Mammalia; Primates; Hominidae
Description: retained intron
Source: RNAcentral
UCUCAGGAGAGGCCACAAGGCAUGGAGGAGAGCCAGAUCUGAGGCCGGAGGGCCAACGCAGCCUGCGCAUGGGGGUGAGGACAGGUGGGUCCAUCGUAGGGGGCCUGGGGCCCGCCCUUGCCCGUCUCACCUGCUCCCCCGCCCUCCUGCAGGCUGUGUUCCCCAGAGCACCCACUGCCAACACAGCCUCUACAGAAGGUCUUCCUGCUAAGGUCAGUGCCCAGAGGGGCAAGCAGGGUGGGGGCACCAAGCAGUUCUGCUAGGCUGAAUGGGCACUGUGGGGACACUCCACGUGCAUCGUGGCCAGCAGGCACAAUUGGGGUGGAGGUGGUGGCGAUGAGCUUGCCUGCCGCCAUAGAUUGGCCGGGACUCGGAGGUCACUGUUGCCUGGCUCAGCCCCUUGUCUUUCCUGACCCCUCAGGGAUGGGGCAUGGGGCCCUGGGAGGCCUUGGGUAAUGGCUGUCCCCCUCCCCAGCCCGGCUCACACACGCUGCGCCCCCGGAGCUUCCCAUCCCCGACCAAGUGUCUCCGC